This 468-nucleotide ribosomal RNA is filed under the name uncultured bacterium. RNAcentral describes it as "bacterial SSU rRNA". It matches the Rfam family "Bacterial small subunit ribosomal RNA", at positions 331 to 793 of the family's 1533-position model. The record is from RNAcentral.
CCAGACUCCUACGGGAGGCAGCAGUGAGGAAUAUUGGUCAAUGGGCGGAAGCCUGAACCAGCCAAGUCGCGUGAGGGAAGAAGGCCCUGCGGGUCGCAGACCUCUUUGGACGGGGAGCAAGGCCGCCGACGUGUCGGCGGAAGGAGAGUACCCGUAGAACAAGCAUCGGCUAACUCCGUGCCAGCAGCCGCGGUAAUACGGAGGAUGCGAGCGUUAUCCGGAUUUAUUGGGUUUAAAGGGUGCGCAGGCGGCACGGCAAGCCGGCGGUCAAAUCGCGGGGCUCAACCCCGGUAUUGCAUUUGAAACUGUCCGGCUAGAGUGCAGGAGAGGUAAGCGGAAUUCCUAGUGUAGCGGUGAAAUGCGUAGAUAUUAGGAGGAACACCAGUGGCGAAGGCGGCUUACUGGACUGUAACUGACACUGAGGCACGAAAGCGUGGGGAGCAAACAGGAUUAGAUACCCCUGUAUUG